CGGCUCAGUAACACGUGGAUAACCUACCCUCAGAUCUGGGAUAACUCCGGGAAACUGGAGAUAAUACCGGAUAAUCCGUGAACGCUGGAAUGCCUUACGGUUGAAAGCUUUAGCGUCUGAGGAUGGGUCUGCGGCCGAUUAGGUAGUUGCUGGGGUAACGUCCCAACAAGCCGAUAAUCGGUACGGGUUGUGAGAGCAAGAGCCCGGAGAUGGAUUCUGAGACACGAAUCCAGGUCCUACGGGGCGCAGCAGGCGCGAAAACUUUACACUGCGCGAAAGCGCGAUAAGGGGACCUCGAGUGCGUGCGCAAAGCGUACGCUUUUCAGAUGCCUAAAAAGCAUCUGGAAUAAGGGCCGGGCAAGACCGGUGCCAGCCGCCGCGGUAACACCGGCGGCUCAAGUGGUGGCCGCUAUUAUUGGGCUUAAAGGGUCCGUAGCCGGACCAGUUAGUCCCUUGGGAAAUCUUACGGCUUAACCGUAAGGCUGCCAAUGGAUACUGCUGGUCUUGGGACCGGGAGAGGCAAGAGGUACCUCAGGGGUAGGAGUGAAAUCCUGUAAUCCUUGAGGGACCGCCAGUGGCGAAGGCGUCUUGCUAGAACGGGUCCGACGGU
This 610-nucleotide ribosomal RNA is filed under the name uncultured euryarchaeote. Its description in RNAcentral is "bacterial SSU rRNA". It matches the Rfam family "Archaeal small subunit ribosomal RNA", at positions 83 to 698 of the family's 1478-position model. The record is from RNAcentral. Lineage: Archaea; Methanobacteriati; Methanobacteriota.